This 497-nucleotide ribosomal RNA is filed under the name uncultured bacterium. RNAcentral describes it as "partial 16S ribosomal RNA". It matches the Rfam family "Bacterial small subunit ribosomal RNA", at positions 28 to 507 of the family's 1533-position model. The record is from RNAcentral.
GAUGAACGCUGGCGGCGUGCCUAAUACAUGCAAGUCGAGCGAACGGACGAGAAGCUUGCUUCUCUGAUGUUAGCGGCGGACGGGUGAGUAACACGUGGAUAACCUACCUAUAAGACUGGGAUAACUUCGGGAAACCGGAGCUAAUACCGGAUAAUAUUUUGAACCGCAUGGUUCAAAAGUGAAAGACGGUCUUGCUGUCACUUAUAGAUGGAUCCGCGCUGCAUUAGCUAGUUGGUAAGGUAACGGCUUACCAAGGCAACGAUGCAUAGCCGACCUGAGAGGGUGAUCGGCCAAGCUGGAACUGAGACACGGUCCAGACUCCUACGGGAGGCAGCAGUAGAGAAUCUUCCGCAAUGGGCGAAAGCCUGACGGAGCAACGCCGCGUGAGUGAUGAAGGUCUUCGGAUCGUAAAACUCUGUUAUUAGGGAAGAACAUAUGUGUAAGUAACUGUGCACAUCUUGACGGUACCUAAUCAGAAAGCCACGGCUAACUACGUG